GGAGAGGGUAUAGCUCAGUGGUAGAGUGUGUGCCUAGUAUGCACAAGGUUCUGGGUUCAAUCCCCAGUACCUCCA
RNAcentral lists this transfer RNA (75 nucleotides) under Vicugna pacos (alpaca). RNAcentral's name for it is "tRNA-Thr (AGT) (tRNA-Thr-AGT-19-1)". It matches the Rfam family "tRNA". From Rfam's summary of the family: Transfer RNA (tRNA) molecules are approximately 80 nucleotides in length. Their secondary structure includes four short double-helical elements and three loops (D, anti-codon, and T loops). Further hydrogen bonds mediate the characteristic L-shaped molecular structure. tRNAs have two regions of fundamental functional importance: the anti-codon, which is responsible for specific mRNA codon recognition, and the 3' end, to which the tRNAs corresponding amino acid is attached (by aminoacyl-tRNA synthetases). tRNAs cope with the degeneracy of the genetic code in two manners: having more than one tRNA (with a specific anti-codon) for a particular amino acid; and 'wobble' base-pairing, i.e. permitting non-standard base-pairing at the 3rd anti-codon position. The record is from RNAcentral. Lineage: Eukaryota; Metazoa; Chordata; Mammalia; Artiodactyla; Camelidae.